GACGAACGCUGGCGGCAUGCCUAAUACAUGCAAGUCGAGCGAACAGAUGAAGUGCUUGCACUUCUGACGUCAGCGGCGAACGGGUGAGUAACACGUAAGGAAUCUACCUAUAAGCGGGGGAUAACAUUCGGAAACGGGUGAUAAUACCGCAUAAUAUUUUCUUCCGCAUGGAAGAAAAUUGAAAGACGGCUCUGCGGUUACUUAUAGAUGACCUUGCGGUGCAUUAGUUAGUUGGUGGGGUAACGGCCUACCAAGACGAUGAUGCAUAGCCGACCUGGGAGGGUGAUCGGCCACAUUGGGACUGAGACACGGCCCAAACUCCUACGGGAGGCAGCAGUAGGGAAUCUUCCGCAAUGGGCGAAAGCCUGACGGAGCAAUGCCGCGUGAGUGAAGAAGGCCUUCGGGUCGUAAAACUCUGUUAUAAGAGAAGAACAAAUUGUAGAGUAACUGCUACAGUCUUGACGGUAUCUUAUCAGAAAGCCACGGCUAACUACGUGCCAGCAGCAGCCGCCG
Molecule: ribosomal RNA, 513 nt
Filed under: uncultured bacterium
Lineage: Bacteria
Description: partial 16S ribosomal RNA
Rfam family: Bacterial small subunit ribosomal RNA
Source: RNAcentral